Mucispirillum schaedleri ASF457 is the source of this 71-nucleotide non-coding RNA. NCBI's taxonomy places the organism in Bacteria, Pseudomonadati, Deferribacterota, Deferribacteres, Deferribacterales, Mucispirillaceae. The record is from Rfam.
GGGUCUAUAGCGAAGGAUGAUUAGAGCGGAUGCCUGCUGCGUAGGCGAUAGUUCAAGUCUAUCUAGGCCCA